CGGGGCGUGGCUCAGUCAGGUAGAGCGCUGCGUUCGGGACGCAGAGGUCCCCGGUUCAAAUCCGGGCGCCCCGA
This 74-nucleotide transfer RNA is filed under the name Gemmatimonadota bacterium. Its description in RNAcentral is "Gemmatimonadetes bacterium (beach sand metagenome) tRNA-Pro". It matches the Rfam family "tRNA". Rfam says of the family: Transfer RNA (tRNA) molecules are approximately 80 nucleotides in length. Their secondary structure includes four short double-helical elements and three loops (D, anti-codon, and T loops). The record is from RNAcentral. Lineage: Bacteria; Pseudomonadati; Gemmatimonadota.